RNAcentral lists this long non-coding RNA (1097 nucleotides) under Heterocephalus glaber (naked mole-rat). Its description in RNAcentral is "lncRNA (ENSHGLG00000031987.1)". The record is from RNAcentral. Lineage: Eukaryota; Metazoa; Chordata; Mammalia; Rodentia; Bathyergidae.
CAGCUGGACAGAUGAACAGUGGGUGUCCACUACGGGGUUACUGCCUGCUAGGCAGCAGCACACUUGUUUUUCUACCAUCAUGGCUGAGCUAAUAACAAUCUCUAAGUAGCACCUGCCGUCAUCUUCAUCAUCAGUCUUCUGCCAGGCUCUUCCACGGUCAAAUCCAAUCACAAGCCAGGGAGUAGGGAAGCCCACUUUCUGUGGACACGGAGCAAGAUGGCAGCAAGUAAAUAAUGAGUCUGGAGAAGGAAACAGAGAAUAGAUUGAACUCGGGUCCUUGCACUUGCGAAACAGGCGCAGCAGGAGGCAAAACCACUGAGCUAAAUCCCUGGCCCUAAUCUUGCUCUUGAACAUCACAGUAUCGUGAGACAUUGAAGCCUCAACUUGUGACUGGAGUACCAGGGAUCGAACUCGGGACCUUGCGCUUGUGAGGCAGGCACCGGAACCACUGAGCUAAAUCCCCGGCCUAACACAAAGUCAAGGUGCAUUUUUGACAGUUUGAAGCCAAACACCUGGUGUUCAAGAAUACACUGAGUUUGGUUGUUUGGAUCAGCCCUAACUGUUACUGGGAAGCAACAAGACCCAAGAACGUCCCCAUGCAUAGCUGCUUCAUUAACUAGCUAUUGAUAUUUAGACAUACAAGGUGCAGAAUGUUUCAUAUUUAAGUAGCCUGGUGAUGUGGGCCAAGGAUUCUCUUUAUUUUUUUUCUCUUAAAUUCUUUUAUUGGUACAUUUUAGGCAUACAAUACAUUUACAUUCAUCAUUGGAAACUUGUACCUUUACAUGAGUAUCUUGGUUCUUAUUUUUUCCCCCUUCCCCUGCCCUCCCUUCAACCCCUCCACCCCUCCCUAUUUGCAAAGGCUUUUUUUCCAUUUAUUUCUUGUCUCACAUUUUUUCCUUUUCAAGGAAUCUCUUUAUAAGCCUCAUCUGAUUCUAGGUCUUCCCCAGGAUCCGGAGAAGUGUUAGGUGGCUUUUCCUCCUUAGUACAUUUCUCUUCCUCAACCUGACUGAGGAGAGGAGACUUGGGAGGGGUAGUGUUUAAAGGACCCAAAACUGAUUUUACUAGGCUCCAAGCUGAAAAGGUCUUAGGAGAGAUAG